Molecule: long non-coding RNA, 302 nt
Filed under: Elaeis guineensis (African oil palm)
Lineage: Eukaryota; Viridiplantae; Streptophyta; Magnoliopsida; Arecales; Arecaceae
Description: long non-coding RNA (EGUI_LNC040971)
Source: RNAcentral
CUACACUCUACAAUCACACGGCUGCUUAUGACCAUAAACAAUUACAACCUAGACAUUAACCAUAACUAGAGUCUUUCAAAAUCAUCGUAAACAGUACUUGGGGCAUUAACUCAGUGUUACACUCUUACUUUCAAGCGAGAGAUUAGGUCUUCUGGUCUUGAGUUAUCCCUCAGAACUUUGAUCCCACCCCUCCUAAAAAGGCUUUUUCCGGAGUACAAAUCAACCUCGUAGGGUGGUAGUGGGAUGGGUGUAGCCUCCCAGAUUCCCGUUCACCUUCUCCAUUUCUGUUUCCAUAAGAAGCC